AGGACGAACGCUGGCGGCGCGCCUAACACAUGCAAGUCGAACGAGCGAGAGAGAGCUUGCUUUCUCGAGCGAGUGGCGGACGGGUGAGUAACGCGUGGGUAACCUGCCUUAUACAGGGGGAUAACAGUUGGAAACGACUGCUAAUACCGCAUAAGCGCACGGUAUCGCAUGAUACAGUGUGAAAAACUCCGGUGGUAUAAGAUGGACCCGCGUCUGAUUAGCUUGUUGGUGAGGUAACGGCCCACCAAGGCGACGAUCAGUAGCCGGCCUGAGAGGGUGAACGGCCACAUUGGGACUGAGACACGGCCCAAACUCCUACGGGAGGCAGCAGUGGGGAAUAUUGCACAAUGGGGGAAACCCUGAUGCAGCAACGCCGCGUGAGUGAAGAAGUAUUUCGGUAUGUAAAGCUCUAUCAGCAGGGAAGAAAAUGACGGUACCUGACUAAGAAGCACCGGCUAAAUACGUG
RNAcentral lists this ribosomal RNA (466 nucleotides) under uncultured bacterium. Its description in RNAcentral is "bacterial SSU rRNA". It matches the Rfam family "Bacterial small subunit ribosomal RNA", at positions 26 to 507 of the family's 1533-position model. The record is from RNAcentral.